This 1017-nucleotide ribosomal RNA is filed under the name Triticum aestivum (bread wheat). RNAcentral describes it as "partial small subunit ribosomal RNA". The record is from RNAcentral. Lineage: Eukaryota; Viridiplantae; Streptophyta; Magnoliopsida; Poales; Poaceae.
AUGGCUACCUCUGCCGCAGGCGACGUUGCCGAGCUUGCGAUCACCUCGCUUCCCCUAGAGACGCGGUUCCCGCCGUUCCGUCUGAGGAGGUAUGGUGGGUUCUGGCUGGUGGAGAAGUUCCUCAAGGAUGUUCCAGCCGUCCACUCGGUCUUCAAGACAAGGCCGUCGUAUGUCCUCCUCGGCAGCUUCCCCAAGUGCGGCACCACCUGGCUCAAGGCUCUCGUCUUUGCCACGCGCAACCGGGCUGACCACUCGCCCCAUGACCUCCACCACCCGCGCCGCCGUUGCAACCCCCACGACGUGGUUCGGACAUGGAGCUGGAGUUUGGGCGGUCACUGGAAGACGGUAGAGCAGGCGGCGCGCCGCUUACUCGCCACACACCUGCCCUACUCUCUCCUACCACGGCGCAUCACGGCGGAGGAGUCCGGCUGCUGGAUCGUGUACAUCUGCGACCCAAAGGACGCAUUCAUUUCCUCGUGGUUCUUCACCAAGAAGGAGGCGGCGGCCACGGCUGCUCGAGCACAAGCCGGCGAGUACACGGACAAGCAGCAGACGGCGCCGCCGCGGCACACAUUCGAGGAGGCAUUCGAGCUGUUCUGCGACGGCAAAUGUGUCAACGGCCCGCAGUGGCGCCACGUGCUGGGCUACUUGGAGGAGAGCAUGAGGCGGCCGGAGAAGGUGCUCUUCCUCCGGUACGAGGAGAUGCUCCGGGACCCCGAGAGAAACGUGAAGAAACUGGCGGAGUUCAUGCGGUGCGCCUUCUCCCGCGAGGAGGAGGCCGACGGAGUGGUGCAUGCCAUCGUGGAGCUGUGCAGCCUCGAGAGCCUGAAGAACAUGGCCGUGAACAAGAUUGGCAGCCAUGCAUGGCUGGCGCACCAGUCCUUCUUCAGGUAGGGUGUGGUUGGGGACUGGAGCAACCACAUCACGCCGGUGAUGGCGAAGCAGCCGGAUAAGAUCAUCGAGGAGGCACUGCAAGGCUCGGGGUUCAGCUUCGCCGUCGCAGAGUCGUCCUCGUGA